Molecule: small nuclear RNA, 140 nt
Organism: Oncorhynchus kisutch (coho salmon)
Lineage: Eukaryota; Metazoa; Chordata; Actinopteri; Salmoniformes; Salmonidae
Gene: U1
Rfam family: U1 spliceosomal RNA
About the family: U1 is a small nuclear RNA (snRNA) component of the spliceosome (involved in pre-mRNA splicing). Its 5' end forms complementary base pairs with the 5' splice junction, thus defining the 5' donor site of an intron.
Source: Ensembl
ACAAUAACAUGUCACCGCUAUGUUGUAGCAGAGGCAACCAGGCUCGGCCAUUGCACUCCGGCCGUGCCGACCCUUGCAAUUUCCCCAAAGGUGGGAAUCUUGAUUGCAUAAAUUGUGUUAGUGGGGGACUGCGUCCCCAC